Cygnus olor (mute swan) is the source of this 942-nucleotide long non-coding RNA. RefSeq lists it as uncharacterized. The record is from RefSeq and is a predicted model, not a curated record. Lineage: Eukaryota; Metazoa; Chordata; Aves; Anseriformes; Anatidae. The transcript has 3 exons.
CUUUGAACCAUUGCCAUUGCUCUUCCUUCCACAUCUAGGUGAUUCUCACCCCAGUUACUUUGCUGUCUUCCCUUUGGCCUCCUGUAGGAUCUUCCAGGUACAAGUUGUAGAAUCCAGUACUGUGGUCUUGGUGCUACCUUCUAAAAUGCCCAGCACUUCAUGAUAACACAUUCAAGGAGUUUUUCAAAGGACGGACAGAUGCCUGGUCACCAUGUACUGCUGCUGACAGAGCCCUGGAGAAAACCUCUGGCAGAAUGAACUCAAGCAGACAGGCCAGGACCUGAUCUGGCACGAACAGAAACCCAUAUCCGGGGGUGAGCGUACAUCCGAUAUGACACCUGAAAGGAGAUACUGUAGACAAAGAUGGUACUCUUGUUAUGCAGUGGAGAGAAAGAAUCAAGAUCAUUAGGAGGGCUAAAAUAAGAAUAUUGCAGAACAAGAAAACCUCAUCUCUAAAAUAAGAAUAUUGCAGGAGAACAAGAAAAGCUCGUCUGAUGAAUUGUUUCAUUGACUUAUGUGGAGUUAUACUGAUUUACACAGCUAAUGACUGCUCCAUUCCGCUGAACUACCAAGGACUAUCAAGCUGAACGCAAUGUCAUAAUAUGACAAUAUUCAGUACUUAAAAGCUUUUUAAUGUCAGAUUUGCAAAUGUCUCAAUUUCAGAAUAUGAAGGAGACAUCAUUGAAUUUCCACAUUGUCACAGAAUCCAGAAAUCUUGCCAUUUCUUCACAGUGGAUUGUUUGGGAUUGAAAUAUUUCUCAUGAAUAAAUUAAGUAAUAUAAAAAUUGACAGCUCAACUAUAACAUCUGCUCAUCCAUAAAAGAGUCACUCCACCCAGUUGAGUGGGUGAAGUAAACUUUACAAGGUUGAAUUAAUGUAGGUACUGAUGGAAAUACAACCCUUUUUAAUCAGCAUAAUUUCAAAAUAAAUUCUUAAGUAAUA